CCAGAUGUGCCAACUGUAUUAGAAAAAGAAAUAGAGGAGAGGAGACAAUAUUAUGAUUUAUAGACUGUGAACCACUGUGAAACCAUUAAAAAGAUGGUAGAGUUCUCUGUGUACUGACUCAUAAGGAUGACUGCUCCACGUCGGGGAGAAAAGUCAGAUAUGAACAACAGGAGACCUCCUGUGAUUUACAUUCUGGAGUGGUGGGAUGAUGGACUGAGCCAGACAGCUCGUCACCUCUGGAGAAGACGAGCGGGGUCAUGGAAGCUGCCCUGGAAAUGAAAGAGGAGGCAGGGUGCUUUGCUGCCUUGGAAGCUCUCCUUUGUUCCCGAGCAUCAGGGGUGCUGUCGCAUGUGGCCUCUGGGAGACCAGGCAGGAAGAGCAGAGCCUGUGCCCAAUAGCUGAAGGGCAGGGCUGAUGAACAGCUCAUCUUAUUGAUUGCUGGCCUCUCUGACCAUCAGCGGACCCAGGCCCACUUCUGGCUGCCUGCCAUUGAGCCACAAAGGCAGCAGCUCCACGGAUUUUCCACGAAUUCCCCCUUCUGGGUCCUUUUCAGUGGCCAGGUGGACUUGGCCUCUUGAACAUCCUGUUUGCUCCAACUUGUCCACCUGAUGCAAGUGCACGUUAGGUGACUGGAAAAUGCCACCUUCAAGUGUAAACAGAGUGGUGCCCGAGAAACCCCAGGACUCCGGAAAGGAACUGGUGUGGGCCCAAACGAAACCAGAAAGUGGACCCAAGGGCCAAGGAAUGCCCAUGAUGAGAGAGCAGGACUGUGGCCCAGACCGGGACUGCUGCUGGUCUAUGCAGCACCUUUGUGUGAAGUAGAAAAAAACGUACCCCUUCUUUUUGGAGACGGAACCUGGAGCGGCUGUUCUUGGCUUGGAAAGUGAAGCCUGGACUGGUUUUGGCUCCUACUUCAGCAGGGGCCAACCUGCAUUACCACAUGCAGAAUGUAAUCAGGACUAGGAGCUUAUGUGAAGCUGGUUGAAGCCAGAACAAUGUUUAAAUCUCUCCCUAUCAAGGAAUUCGGCGAAUAGAUAUACACCUGGCUACAUGGAGAGCAACUUGUUGUGUACAUAAGGCUUGGAAAGAAAAUCAUUUAGAAUUGAAGAGGACAAGAGGCGUGUAAGGAAAGCAGUGUGCUUGGUGACAGGAACUUGGAAUGAGACUGGUGUAAAGAACCUGGCCGUGGUGUCAGACAGAGAAGAUUUGAAUCCCGUUGUUGUCACUUAUAAGCAGUAUGAUUCCCUGGGUUUUCUUCUGCGUCAAAUGGAAGUGAUAAUUGGAUAUGUUUCAUAAGGCGAUUGUGAAGGCUAGAUAGGAUAAUGGAGAAAUUCAGAAAAUGUCCAUUAUCUAUUUUGCUGGGCUUUUCUUCUACCCCUCCUUGUGCUGAAGCCCACACUUUGGUCACAGUGACUCCCUGAAGUGUCCUUCAAAUUGUGCUGCGCUCUGUCUGGAGCAGCCUUCCCUGCUUCUCACCUGGAUGAUACCUUCUCAUCCUCUAGUUCACUGCUCAGAACAUAACCCCCUCUCUGGGGAUUUCCUGGGUGGAUUGGCUGCUCUUCUGGUCUGUUGAGGAGUCUACCACCUUCUCAAGACUGAAGGUUCCUUGAGGACAAACAGUAUCAAGAUUGAUGCUCCACACCCAGUGCCAAAUCCUGCAGCUAGAUCACAGGAAGUGUUAAUUUAGCUAAAUUUGUUGAAUGAAAGACGAAUUAUGAGAUGAAAGUGUAUUUCGGGUGUGAAGUCUUCUCAAACCAUGAUGACCGCGACUUAGCCAUCUUGCUUGAACAUCUGCCUGUUAUCUUUCAUACAAUUCAUUAAGCCCAAUCUACCAGGUUCCAGUUAUUCUGGUCUGCCUUCUAUCCUUGGAACAUGCCAAGAUGGCCUACCUAUGGCACCUUCGGACACCAUUGCCCUGGAACAUGCCAAGGUUGCCUACCUAUGGCACCUUCGCACACCAUUUCCCCUGCUAGGAGUGAUGGCUGAUUCCCCAUCAUUUACUUCUCAGCUCUUGGACGUCUUCCUGUGGCAUUGCUUUUUAUUUUUAUACCCUGUUUUAUUUCUUUAUAGUACAAUAUUUGUCACCACCUGAAUGGAUCUUGUUUAUUGAUUGGGUUACUUGUUUAUAAUCUAUCUCUCCUCAGUUAGAACAUAAGAUCCAUGAAGGUAGGCACCCGUCUAUUUUAUUUACUUUUAGGCACCAUGGGUGUGCUGAUGUACAACCACUGUGGAUGCUUUAUAAAUAUUUGCCCAGUGAACACAUAUUUAUCCAACAGAGCAGUAUCAGCCUUGUCUCUGUCCUCAGAGAGCUUACAAUCAAUCCACUGGUGCCCUUGAAGCCAGGCUGCCAGCCAGAUUAGAGCAAUGGUGUGUUCUGGGACACAAUCUGCAGGGACAAACUCCAGGUUACGAACCAAGAAUUAAUUAUAAUACCAAAGCAAGCCAGUGCAUUUAUGUAAAUUAAUUGAGUUUAACUUAAUUUCCAACUAGACUGUAGUCCUUUUCUUUCCCCUUUGGGGAUUUUCCACUUCAUAAGGUAAAACAGAAAAAUUGUUCAGCUUUCCAUCAAGAAGUUUGUUAGAAACCAGGGCUGAUUCUGCAAAUACUGAUGUCACAGUGGGGAGGGAAAAGAGGACAAUAACUUUUCUGAACCAGUAUCUAGUCCGACUCUGUUGCCUUUUUCCAAAUGUCUUUCUUGGUGAUGCUGAAGAAGCCUACUUGCUUUCAUCAGCUAGAAAGGGUAGCUGCUCAGCCAGAAGGUGGAACCGCUGGCAGCUGUUUCCCAGAAAAGCCAUCCUACAUUCCCUACAUCUAAAACUUCCACUGAAACUUAUAGGACUGAACUUUGAAAAGAGUGAAAUGUCUUUAGAAAUCUUUGCACCAUCUUUAUUCCUGAGUUGCUGCUGGUCUCUGGCACUCCAGUCUCAGAUGCACAGGGAAACCUGCCCUUGUCCUGAAUCCAUGAUGCCUUUUCCAUCAGACUGCAGAUUCCCAUAAAAUGUGCAAAGAAGUUGACUCUUGCUGCAUGGACUCCUCUCAAGAAAGUGAAGGUUGCCCCAGCCCCCUCUCAAGCUGUCACUGAGAACAGUACUGGAGGGGUGGAUUUGCCAAAUGUCUGUCAGAGCCAAUGCUGGGGGCAGUGUCAGCAGGGAGCCUGAGUUACCUUUGGUGACAUGAUCUUUUCUCCUCCCUGUUCCCUUCGACUGUUCUGAACCAAUGACACAGAUCUCAAGUUCCAGGGGACAGAUGCAUCUUUUUGGGAAAACCGUUUUCUGCCCAAAGGAAAUCAGCUUUCCUGUUUUCUGUUGUUAUCAAUAUUGCUGUUUGGGUUCCCUUGAGUGUGGAUUAAAUGGCAGCUGAGAAAUCUUGUUGGGACCACCUCUUCCCAUUGCCUUUCAAAGUGAAGUCUUGACAAGAAAUGAGUUCUUCCCAAAGAUAAGUACAUUGGAGGUUGGGUCUGGUGGUAGCUUCCUAAUGAAUUUGUGGUGCACAGAUCUGUCCUUGAGCUAUUUUCUGUAAUGUUCUCACUGCAGUGUCCCAUGACUGAUCUUAUUUCAGAGAAUUGUAUGAGUUUUGCAGCAAAUUACAAGGAAGGCCUGGUUCCUAAAAUCAGCUGAAGGCCAAUUAAGGUUUCUUGGGGCGCUUUCCUUCAGCUGCAAUGUCAUCAUAAAUGACUCUCCAGUGCAGUGGAAGGCUGACAUUUUGUAAGCUAAUACUAUAUUUUGGGAGUGAUUAAAAUCUCCAUCUCAGUCACCUGCCUGACCAACUGCCAGUGGCCACAAAACAAAAGGAUUACAGUCAAUUCAUAUCCAUUAGGAAAAUGACGUGAAACCCUAUUGGUUUAGGCUCAGUGGGGCUUAAUCUGAUUUCAGGAAGAAAGGAGAGGUGUGCAAUUAAAGGAGAGAGGGAAGGCAGAAAAGAAAAUCAGAUGAAAAAUUUCCCCCAAAACCCAAGGCCUUUUUGGUUUGUUCAUUUCCAUAAGGAUUUAUUAAGUACCUGUUGAGUUCUUCCCACUAUGGUAGACCCUGAAAGGGAGGAAGGAGAAAACACUAGCAAUGCCUGUCCUCAGAACUUGCAGUGUAGUAGGGGGGAAAUGCUACACACUGAGGAGGUGGCCAGAGAAUUAGCAGAUUCAUGUUAGUAGGAAUUUAAAAAUAUUCUUUAGGUGCCUGGCACAGUUGGAAAAGGAAAAGAAGAUAAGUGAGAAGGGAUAGUUGACAUCUACAUGCUCUUACUGUGUGCUUCACAUUAAGUUUUACACAUAUUAACUCACCUUUACAACAGCCCUACAUACCAUUAUUAUUCCCGCUUUACGGAUGAGGAAACUGAGGCCCACAGAAGUGAAGAAACUUGCCUGAGAUCACACAGUCCGCAAGAGGAAGAGCUGGGGUUUGCAUACAGCUAGUCUGGUCCUAGAAUCUGAGGUUUUACCAUUAUUCUAUGUGGCCUCCCAAGGUGAUGGGGUAUUCCUGACCCAUGAGGAUUUUCAUUCUCCAUGGGGAGAUGAGGUCUAGGUGUGGGGAUAAUUAAGCUACAGGUAGAGGGUGUAACAGUGGAGGCAGGGAAUAGAGUGAUUGAUGACUUCAGAAAGGUGGGUGUGCUAACUGAACUCUGGACAUGGAUGUGUAUAUGUUGCGGGAAGCUCUGCACAGAGGGAUAGAGAAGGUUCUAACCCAGGAAAAGAGCACGAGCAGAGGAGACUGAAAGAAUGGCUACAAUUUGCAGUUACUUAUUUGUAGUUGUCUAAGAAGAGAAAUCAUUAAAUCAAAGGGUGCCUUCUUACAAGGACAAGGGUUUAUAGCACUGGGGACAUGAGCAAGGAUGUGGAAUCUGACAGACUAAGUUUAAAGUUCGAUUGUGUCACAUUCUCCUCAAGUGACCUUGAGAGAGUUACCUAGCCUUUAUCUGCAAAUAUAGGAAGAACGGCUAUAGAAGAACUGGGAAAGUCUCUCAUCUUGUAACGGAGCUCAUUUAUUUACUUCUUCAAAAAUAUUCAUUAGGGAACCAAUUACCUGCCAUGUGCUGUGCUAGAUGUUGGGACAAUGAACAAGGCAAACAUGAGUGUUGCUCUCUUAGAGCUUGUAUUCUAACUGGGGAGGCAACACAAUAAACAAGCAGUAAUCUACAACAAGUAAUCUUAGGAUAUGAGAGGGAUUUUGAAGAAAACAUAGGGUUGGGGCCAAGUAGAAUUAAUGGCUUUUACUGUGCCAAGGACAGUGUUUGUCAGGUAGGAGGCAAUCAAAACACAGGAGCUUUCAUUUUACAUUUAUUAAUAGCUCCAUCUUGAAAUUCAACAUGUAAGAGGAAGCCAAGGUAUCAGAUACUCUUUGCUGCCUACCAGGAGGGCAUGUCUCCUUUCACCUUGCUUACAGACCCCUCUUUAAUCCAAGACUCAUCUUAUGCCCACAGGCAAGGUGUUGGGGUUACAGGAAGCUCAGGAUGGAUGUCUACAUCUCCAAGGAACUAUCACUUUCUACCAAAAUGUGAGAAGAAACUCUGGAAUGCAAUGUCAUGAAUGGGAACUGUUGUGUAUUCACUGCUUUCCCCCCAGUGCCCAGGACAGUUCCCAGCACAGAAUAGGGGCUCAACAAAUGUCUGUGGAAUUAUUAAACAGGUCAAUUGAAAUAAACAUGGAUAUAUUUUAGAAUCACACAAGCAUGGCAUAAAAUUUUAAAAAUCCAAACAGAUGGCACUGUUCCUGCUGCAUUUGAAACAUGGGCUUCCUCAGACUCUGCUCUGAAAUUGCAAUGGAGGAGAAACCAGUGGUUUCAAGAAACAGAAAUGCAGGGGAAACUGGGCCAGCCUCAGCUCUACAAGGGUGGUCACCAGCUCCGGGACUGACAAGGGCCACAGUACAAGACGGAGACGAAGUGCCGAGUUCCCAGAGGCUGUUGGUGGUGGCGAGGCCUGUACCAUGAGCGGUGUCUUCUGGAAGGUGAGAUUACCAGAGCCCAGGCACUCUGGGGACUCUUGGAGGGUCACACAGUGAAGAAGUCUGAUAAUCACCAGCCCCCUGGAGGGAAGUGGCUGAUCCACAGAAGCCUGUUCCUCUACUUUGGUCAUUGUUACGGGUCUCACUAUAAAAGCACUCAAGUAAGGAUCAGUCAGGAGGCUCAUGGUCAUUAUGAUUCCACUGUCUGCUGAGACACAAACCAAACCACUCAGAUACAAACAGCCAAAAGGUCAUGACUCUGCUCACCUCUCUGGCCUGAGUCCUGGGCCAGUGGUGACCCCCAACGCGCUGCCCAUGCCAAAGUCUCUUACCACACUGAGUCUACCCAGAGGACCAGGGCUGUAAAUGGACUGUGGGUGAUGCUGGAUGAUUCUUUAGAGGCCAUUGGUGCUACCUCCUCGUUGUACAGAUGGGGAAACUGAAGCCAUGUAGGGGGAGAAGGGAAUUGGACAAAUCACAUGACCCACUGAUGUUAAAUUUGGACUUGAUUCUCCAUCGUAUUCUCCUUCCAACACUAAAUGUAGUUAGAAGCCUGCUUCUGCUCAGAAGAUGGAAAAUGGCCUCUGACAAUAAAAGCUGAUUUUUAACAACCAACCCAAGAAAAAUAGAAUGCUUCAGCAAGUCUUUGGCCUGGAUCCAGAGAGAUCUUAGACUGUGAAGGGAUGGAUGGAUUAACUCUUACCACCCUCCCAUCCUGAGCUCUUUGAGCUUUUGUUUUGUUUUGUUUGCUUGUUUUUUGUUGUCACCUAUGGGGUUUGCAAAUCCACAAAUUUGGUUGUCUCCUGUCAUGUGGUUGUCACAGGAGCCUGGGCCAGCAAGAGGUUCACAUGAUGGUUUAAUCAAUACUGCAAAUAACAAUAAUAUAUGAUAGCACAUGUGCUUACUGUACCAGAUGCCCUUCUAAGUCCUUUGCAUGCAUCAACUCAUUUAAACCUCACAACUCUUAUCAAAUCAGUUUACAAAUGAGAAAAUUGAGGCAUAGGAAGGCUAAGUAACUAGCCCAGGAUCACCUAGUUUGUAAGUGGUACAAGUGAGAUUUGAGGAUAGUAAGUCUGACUCUGGAGCCAUGAUGCCUUACUGUCCUGGUUGCAGUGAGUGGCACUUUAAAACAGGGCUGUACUGUAAUUUUUAAAAAAAUCAUUGAUUACAAAUUCUGUCUCCCUGUCUUCAGGGGCUAGCAGUGGAAUGGACCCUGAAAGGUAGUGCCUUCCCUCCCCCACCUUCUCCCACUGUGCUGUGGGCAUUAAACCCUACCUCCCCUGCCGCCCCCUCCCCUCUCCCCGCCAGGUAGUUGCCUGCUUCGGCACCUUCAGAGGCUCUCCUGCAGAGACACCAGAGGUCACUGAUGGAUUGAGCUUUUAUAUUCCCUUGGGGCAAAAUGUACAGCUUCUUGGUCCUUCAGUGGAAAAUAGCCAUUUGAACUCUCUCAACUCUAUGAAUCUCAUGAACUGGGUCUCCAGAAGCCACUUGCAUGACAGGAAACAAAUAAAAGGGGAGCCCACUCCUCUUCCCCAGAGGAGGGGUUAGAAGGCUGGAAUAAUUCAUCACAGUCCCCACCCCUCCCGCCACACACACACACACACACACACACAUGCACGCGCGUGCACACACACACACACACAGCAGUGCUCCACUCUGCCAAUGGAACAUUCGUGUUGCCUCUGAAUUAUGUGCUUUUGAUUAAUUUCUAAGGAAAAAAGAUCAGCUUUGCCAGACCCUAUGUUGUGUUUUCUCUAAAUCAGGGCAAAUAACAUUACUUCUGCAAAUGUUGCCAUUAGAAUAGAUUUAUAUUUACCUAGAGAGGCCGCUCCUGAGAGAGAUGCAGUGAGAAGUUUAUGCUACAGACAGAAUGAUCUUCUCUGCCGAAAUGCGAUUUGCUGCAGAGGGCUGUUUGGGGUUUGGAUAAAUGAGAAAGAUAAACACGAUGACUGCUGGUGGUUUUCAGUAACACGAUUACCCCUGGGGAAUAGAUCUCUCUCCCUCUUUCUGUGUCUCGCAUCACUCAUCAUCUCUGCAAAAAUUUUCUGAAAUAGAGGAUUGAGCUGGUAAGGCCAUGACAUAUGCUCACGUCCACACCCACAUCUCUGCCCAUGCCCUCGGUCACAUGUGCACACACAUGAACAGGUGUGCCCAGACACCUUCACACAGUGGCUUUUGGACUUCAGCUUGGGCAGAGGAACACUUUUUUUUUGUCACAGUCAUCUUU
Molecule: long non-coding RNA, 8159 nt
Organism: Prionailurus viverrinus (fishing cat)
Lineage: Eukaryota; Metazoa; Chordata; Mammalia; Carnivora; Felidae
Exons: 10
Source: RefSeq, a predicted model, not a curated record